RNAcentral lists this ribosomal RNA (351 nucleotides) under uncultured eukaryote. RNAcentral describes it as "partial small subunit ribosomal RNA". It matches the Rfam family "Eukaryotic small subunit ribosomal RNA", at positions 587 to 941 of the family's 1831-position model. The record is from RNAcentral.
AGCUCCAAUAGCGUAUAUUAAAGUUGUUGCAGUUAAAAAGCUCGUAGUUGGAUUUGUGGCCUACGGUGUGUUCCGGGCACUUGUUGUCUGAGUAACCUGCUGUUGCCAUCCUUGGGUGGAACCUGUGUGGCAUUAGGUUGUCGUGCAGGGGAUGCCCAUCAUUUACUGUGAAAAAAUUAGAGUGUUCAAAGCAGGCUUAUGCCGUUGAAUAUAUUAGCAUGGAAUAAUGAGAUAGGACUUUUUUGCUAUUUUGUUGGUUUGCGCAAAGAGGUAAUGAUUAAUAGGGACAGUUGGGGGGUAUUCGUAUUCCAUUGUCAGAGGUGAAAUUCUUGGAUUUUUGGAAGACGAACU